This 376-nucleotide ribosomal RNA is filed under the name uncultured bacterium. Its description in RNAcentral is "bacterial SSU rRNA". It matches the Rfam family "Bacterial small subunit ribosomal RNA", at positions 521 to 896 of the family's 1533-position model. The record is from RNAcentral.
UAAUACAGAGGGUGCAAGCGUUAAUCGGAAUUACUGGGCGUAAAGGGUGCGUAGGUGGUUUGAUAAGUUGGGUGUGAAAGUCCUGAGCUUAACUUGGGGAUUGCGCUUAAUACUGUCGAGCUAGAGUACUGUAGAGGAAGGUGGAAUUUCCAGUGUAGCGGUGAAAUGCGUAGAUAUUGGAAGGAACAUCAGUGGCGAAGGCGACUUUCUGGACAGAUACUGACACUGAGGCACGAAAGCAUGGGGAGCAAACAGGAUUAGAUACCCUGGUAGUCCAUGCCGUAAACGAUGAGGACUGGCUGUUGGGUGCCUAGAGCACUUAGUAGCGAAGCUAACGCGUUAAGUUCUCCGCCUGGGGAGUACGGUCGCAAGAUUA